Topomyia yanbarensis is the source of this 527-nucleotide long non-coding RNA. RefSeq lists it as uncharacterized. The record is from RefSeq and is a predicted model, not a curated record. The transcript has 2 exons. NCBI's taxonomy places the organism in Eukaryota, Metazoa, Arthropoda, Insecta, Diptera, Culicidae.
AGAACCAAGGGGUGAGUCGCUUAGAACAAUGUGCCAUACACACUAUAUCAGCUAUGAUAACACGAUAUAAAAAUGCGAUUCACAGUGAUAUCACAAUCAUUUCACGCUUUAUCACAAUGUGUGGCACACUGAGGCACACUUCUGACAACUCAUUUUUUCGAAUACUGGUAUCACUGCAGUUGUCAUAGCAACUCGUGUUUUCGUUUUGUUAUGAUUAUUGUUGUUGUAAUUCUGCAAAGUGAAAUUCAGCCCGAAGCCGUUGUAACUGCAACUAUAAUUCGUCGCGGGAUAACUGUUAGUUAAACAUUUCAUUAAACCUCUUGAAAUCAAAGGAUGAGACCCCACUUGAAGGCGAAUAUAGAACGAACAAUAUUAGCAAAUCGAAACGCCGGAACGAUCCGUGGUAUAGAGACGGACAUGCAGAUUGUGGUUUGCAACAGGAAACGCCGCUGGCAGAGCACUGUUUAGUGAAUGCGAACUUUUUACAUCGGCAAGAUUAUUUUAAUUAAACAAAACUAAGAACGAUA